AUUGAACGCUGGCGGCAGGCCUAACACAUGCAAGUCGAGCGGUAGAGAGGUGCUUGCAUCUCUUGAGAGCGGCGGACGGGUGAGUAAUGCCUAGGAAUCUGCCUAGUGGUGGGGGGAUAACGUUCGGAAACGGACGCUAAUACCGCAUACGUCCUACGGGAGAAAGCGGGGGAUCUUCGGACCUCGCGCCAUUAGAUGAGCCUAGGUCGGAUUAGCUAGUUGGUGAGGGUAAUGGCUCACCAAGGCGACGAUCCGUAACUGGUCUGAGAGGAUGAUCAGUCACACUGGAACUGAGACACGGUCCAGACUCCUACGGGAGGCAGCAGUGGGGGAAUAUUGGACAAUGGGCGAAGACCUGAUCCAGCCAUGCCGCGU
This 375-nucleotide ribosomal RNA is filed under the name uncultured bacterium. Its description in RNAcentral is "bacterial SSU rRNA". It matches the Rfam family "Bacterial small subunit ribosomal RNA", at positions 30 to 402 of the family's 1533-position model. The record is from RNAcentral.